UUUCCGUAGGUGAACCUGCGGAAGGAUCAUUAUUGUAUAACCGAGGUGCGAGGGCUGUCGCUGACCCGAAAGGUCGUGCACGCCCGAGGGCCCUCACACACAUCCAUCUCACCCCUAUGUGCACCACCGCGUGGGUCCCCCUUUGGCUUGUUCGGAGGGGGGCUUACGUUUUCACACAAACUUUGUAUGCAGUGUAGAAUGUAUUUUUUGUUUUUGCGAUCACGCAAUCAAUACAACUUUCAACAACGGAUCUCUUGGCUCUC
This 263-nucleotide unclassified non-coding RNA is filed under the name plant metagenome. RNAcentral describes it as "partial contains small subunit ribosomal RNA, internal transcribed spacer 1, and 5.8S ribosomal RNA". The record is from RNAcentral.